UACAGAGGUCUCAAGCGUUGUUCGGAUUCAUUGGGCGUAAAGGGGGCGUAGGUGGCAUGGUAAGUCGGAUGUGAAAUCCCGGGGCUUAACCCCGGAACUGCAUUCGAUACUGCCAGGCUAGAGUACUGGAGAGGAGAUUGGAAUUUACGGUGUAGCAGUGAAAUGCGUAGAUAUCGUAAGGAAGACCAGCGGCGAAGGCGGACCUCUGGACAGUUACUGACACUGAGGCACGAAGGCCAGGGGAGCAAACGGG
This 253-nucleotide ribosomal RNA is filed under the name uncultured bacterium. Its description in RNAcentral is "partial 16S ribosomal RNA". It matches the Rfam family "Bacterial small subunit ribosomal RNA", at positions 524 to 776 of the family's 1533-position model. The record is from RNAcentral.